This 485-nucleotide ribosomal RNA is filed under the name uncultured bacterium. RNAcentral's name for it is "partial 16S ribosomal RNA". It matches the Rfam family "Bacterial small subunit ribosomal RNA", at positions 899 to 1397 of the family's 1533-position model. The record is from RNAcentral.
ACUCAAAUGAAUUGACGGGGGCCCGCACAAGCAGCGGAGCGUGUGGUUUAAUUCGACGCAACGCGAAGAACCUUACCUGGGCUUGACAUGCGUGUGGUACGACCGGGAAACCGGAAGGACCCGCAAGGGAGCACGCACAGAUGCUGCAUGGCUGUCGUCAGCUCGUGCCGUGAGGUGUUGGGUUAAGUCCCGCAACGAGCGCAACCCUCGCUGCCAGUUACCAUGUCUGGCGGGACCGCCGGGUCCAACCCGGAGGAAGGUGGGGAUGACGUCAAGUCAGCACGGCUCUUACGUCCAGGGCUACACACACGCUACAAUGGCCGGUACAACGCGCAGCGAUGGGGCGACCCGGAGCGAAUCGCAUCAAAGCCGGUCUCAGUUGGGAUUGCAGGCUGCAACUCGCCUGCAUGAACGCGGAGUUGCUAGUAACCGCAGGUCAGCACACUGCGGUGAAUACGUUCCCGGGCCUUGCACACACCGCCCGU